Dioscorea cayenensis subsp. rotundata (Guinea yam) is the source of this 311-nucleotide long non-coding RNA. RefSeq lists it as uncharacterized. Lineage: Eukaryota; Viridiplantae; Streptophyta; Magnoliopsida; Dioscoreales; Dioscoreaceae. The record is from RefSeq and is a predicted model, not a curated record. The transcript is spliced from 3 exons.
UGUAGCGACCGGUGAUCAAGCCGGAGAGGAGAUCGUCAUUGCCAACUUGUCACCAAACCUAGAGGAUCGUUUUAGGGAGUGGUCUUGGAUCUCAUUUUUUUGGGCUUAAGCUAAUAUCAGAUCAAGAGUGGUAGACCGUGGUGGAUCUUGAAAGACUGCCUGUAGAUGUUGCUUGCCCUGUGUAAAAUUGUAGUCCUUGUCAUUGUCUAUCACUAUGUCCCUGUAUUUUGUAUUUUGGACUUCUGUAUCCCGAUUUUGUGUACUUUGUAGAGUUUGUAAUCCUGUAACUCAGUUGGGUUAUUAUAGUUUUA